UAAUGACUCUCGGCAACGGAUAUCUCGGCUCUUGCAUCGAUGAAGAACCUAGCGAAAUGCGAUACUUGGUGUGAAUUGCAGAAUCCCGUGAACCAUCGAGUCUUUGAACGCAAGUUGCGCCUGAAGCUAUUUGGCUGAGGGCACGUCUUCC
Molecule: ribosomal RNA, 151 nt
Filed under: Limonium virgatum
Lineage: Eukaryota; Viridiplantae; Streptophyta; Magnoliopsida; Caryophyllales; Plumbaginaceae
Description: 5.8S ribosomal RNA
Rfam family: 5.8S ribosomal RNA
About the family: 5.8S ribosomal RNA (5.8S rRNA) is a component of the large subunit of the eukaryotic ribosome. It is transcribed by RNA polymerase I as part of the 45S precursor that also contains 18S and 28S rRNA.
Source: RNAcentral